AGGAUGAACGCUGGCGGCGUGCUUAAUACAUGCAAGUCGAACGGAGGAUUUUGUAGUAAUACAGAGUUCUCAGUGGCGAACGGGCGAGUAACGAGUUGGUGACCUGCCCCGAAGUGUGGGAUAACAGUCCGAAAGGAUUGCUAAUACCGCAUGUGAUCAUGGGAUUUAGAAACCUAUGAUUAAAGCAGUAAUGCGCUUCGGGAGGGAUCUGCUUCCCAUCAGCUAGUUGGUGAGGUAAUGGCCCACCAAGGCUACGACGGGUAAGGGACCUGAGAGGGUGGUCCCUCGCAAUGGCACUGAAACACGGGCCAUACACCUACGGGUGGCAGCAGUAGGGAAUAUUGGGCAAUGGGCGAAAGCCUGACCCAGCAACGCCGCGUGCACGAUGAAGGCCUUCGGGUCGUAAAGUGCUUUUCUGAGGGAUGAGUAAGGACAGUACCUCAGGAAUAAGCCUCGGCUAACUACGUGCCAGCAGCCGCGGUAAAACGUAGGAGGCGAGCGUUAUCCGGAUUUACUGGGCGUAAAGCGUGUGUAGGCGGUUCGGCAAGUUGGAUGUGAAAGCUCCUGGCUUAACUAGGAGAGGUCGUUCAAUACUACCGAACUUGAGGGCAUCAGAGGAAGGUGGAAUUCCCGGUGUAGUGGUGAAAUGCGUAGAUAUCGGGAGGAACACCAGUGGCGAAAGCGGCCUUCUGGGAUGUUCCUGACGCUCAGACACGAAAGCUAGGGUAGCAAACGGGAUUAGAGACCCCGGUAGUCCUAGCAGUAAACGAUGUAGACUUGGUGUCGGAGGUGUCAAAACCUUCGGUAUCGUAGCUAACGCGAUAAGUCUACCGCCUGGGGACUACGGCCGCAAGGUUAAA
This 860-nucleotide ribosomal RNA is filed under the name uncultured bacterium. RNAcentral's name for it is "bacterial SSU rRNA". It matches the Rfam family "Bacterial small subunit ribosomal RNA", at positions 26 to 898 of the family's 1533-position model. The record is from RNAcentral.